GCCGCUAUGGUGAAUCGGUAGACACGCUGCUCUUAGGAAGCAGUGCUAGAGCAUCUCGGUUCGAGUCCGAGUGGCGGCA
Helianthus annuus (common sunflower) is the source of this 79-nucleotide non-coding RNA. Lineage: Eukaryota; Viridiplantae; Streptophyta; Magnoliopsida; Asterales; Asteraceae. The record is from Rfam.